RNAcentral lists this ribosomal RNA (446 nucleotides) under uncultured bacterium. RNAcentral describes it as "partial 16S ribosomal RNA". It matches the Rfam family "Bacterial small subunit ribosomal RNA", at positions 338 to 795 of the family's 1533-position model. The record is from RNAcentral.
CCUACGGGAGGCAGCAGUCGAGAAUCAUUCACAAUGGGGGAAACCCUGAUGGUGCGACGCCGCGUGGGGGAAUGAAGGUCUUCGGAUUGUAAACCCCUGUCAUGUGGGAGCAAAUUAAAAAGAUAGUACCACAAGAGGAAGAGACGGCUAACUCUGUGCCAGCAGCCGCGGGAAUACAGCGGUCUCAAGCGUUGUUCGGAAUCACUGGUCGUAAAGCGUGCGUAGGCUGUUUCGUAAGUCGUGUGUGAAAGGCGCGGGCUCAACCCGCGGACGGCACAUGAUACUGCGAGACUAGAGUAAUGGAGGGGGAACCGGAAUUCUCGGUGUAGCAGUGAAAUGCGUAGAUAUCGAGAGGAACACUCGUGGCGAAGGCGGGUUCCUGGACAUUAACUGACGCUGAGGCACGAAGGCCAGGGGAGCGAAAGGGAUUAGAUACCCUAGUAGUC